UACGUAGGGGGCAAGCAUUAUCCGGAUUUACUGGGUGUAAAGGGAGCGCAGACGGCAGUGCAAGUCUGGAGUGAAAGCCCGGGGCCCAACCCCGGAACUGCUCUGGAAACUGUGCGGCUAGAGUACUGGAGGGGCAGGCGGAAUUCCUAGUGUAGCGGUGAAAUGCGUAGAUAUUAGGAGGAACACCAGUGGCGAAGGCGGCCUGCUGGACAGUAACUGACGUUGAGGCUCGAAAGCGUGGGGAGCAAACAGG
This 253-nucleotide ribosomal RNA is filed under the name uncultured bacterium. Its description in RNAcentral is "partial 16S ribosomal RNA". It matches the Rfam family "Bacterial small subunit ribosomal RNA", at positions 524 to 776 of the family's 1533-position model. The record is from RNAcentral.